CCUACGGGGGGCUGCAGUGAGGAAUAUUGGUCAAUGGUCGGGAGACUGAACCAGCCAAGCCGCGUGAGGGAUGAAGGCACAGAGUAUCGUAAACCUCUUUUGUCAGGGAACAAAGGCGGGGACGCGUCCCCGGAUGAGUGUACCUGAAGAAAAAGCAUCGGCUAACUCCGUGCCAGCAGCCGCGGGAAUAAGGAGGAUGAGAGCGUUAUCCGGAUUUAUUGGGUUUAAAGGGUGCGCAGGGUGUCGGUUAAGUAAGUGGUCAAAGACCGGGGCUCAACCCCGGCCCGCCGUUGAAACUGGCAGCCUCGAGUUGGAGAGAAGUAGGCGGAAUGCGCGGUGUAGCGGUGAAAUGCAUAGAUAUCGCGCAGAACUCCGAUUGCGAAGGCAGCAUGCCGGCUCCACACUGACGCUGAGGCACGAAAGCGUGGGUAUCGAACAGGAUUAGAUACCCUAGUAGUC
This 459-nucleotide ribosomal RNA is filed under the name uncultured bacterium. Its description in RNAcentral is "partial 16S ribosomal RNA". It matches the Rfam family "Bacterial small subunit ribosomal RNA", at positions 338 to 795 of the family's 1533-position model. The record is from RNAcentral.